AGCUCACGUAAGAGUUUGAUCAUGGCUCAGGACGAGCGCUUGCGACGUGCCUAAGAAAUGCAAGUCGAACGGGGGAGCAAUCCCUAGUGGCGAACGGUCGCGUAACACGUGGGCAACCUGCCCUGAAGCGGGGGACAACGUUCCGAAAGGGACGCUAAUACCGCAUGUGUAUGAGAAUGGCAUCAUUCCACAUACAAAGCCUUCGGGCACUUCAGGAUGGGCCCGCGGCCUAUCAGCUAGUUGGUGAGGUAACGGCCCACCAAGGCUUCGACGGGUAGCUGGUCUGAGAGGACGAUCAGCCGGAUUGGGACUGAGAUACGGCCCAGACUCCUACGGGGGGC
Molecule: ribosomal RNA, 341 nt
Filed under: uncultured bacterium
Lineage: Bacteria
Description: bacterial SSU rRNA
Rfam family: Bacterial small subunit ribosomal RNA
Source: RNAcentral